UCGGGGAACGGAGUGACGGUCCAGAGGAUAGCAUUAGUAGUCCUCACUAUUCUGUGAAAUAGUGUAUUAAUAAUUGUAAUGAGGACUCCUUUUGAGUUUGUAUAAUCUCUAGUAGACAAUAAUUGUAUUCAAACUCACAAUUAUGUUUUGUCGUAUUAUACACGACAGUUGUAUUAGUAAGUUGUAUUUGAAUUUUGUACCAUGUAUCUGACG
Molecule: long non-coding RNA, 213 nt
Filed under: Panax ginseng (ginseng)
Lineage: Eukaryota; Viridiplantae; Streptophyta; Magnoliopsida; Apiales; Araliaceae
Description: long non-coding RNA (PGIN_LNC009381)
Source: RNAcentral